AGCCCUGGUUCUGAAAUCCAAGUGUCGUCCGAAGUUUUAAUCAUCGAGAUUCUGUUUCUUUGUCUUCGUGGAAUUGUUGUCGCAUGGAAAAAUUUAGUAUUUUUAUCACCCCAUUUCAACCACUUUAUCCUUGAUCUAGCUCCCAAUACAUCUCUUCCUGUCUCCACAGUGUCUCAAUUUCUCCCUGCAGUUUCUUAACCUUUUCUCUAUCGAAAGGACUAUCACUUCUGUUCAUGUAUUGCUGGAGCUCUUGUUUCAGUGAACAUAUUCUUUUCUAUCCAUUCCCGAAUGUCUUCUUACUCUACUUUGUCAGUGCAAAAGUCACAGCCCGCAGUUUCCCUGUUAAGUUCUUUUUAGCCUAGAGGGGGGAAUCCCAAACUUCCUUUAUAAUUUCCUUACAUUGGUUAUUUUCAAGCCAAAAAGCUUCAAAUUUGAACUCUUUUUUACGUUUCUCAUGAUUGCCUUGAAGAGAUAGAACUAUAGGGGCUAUGGUCAGAUCCUAUUGCCGGGAGGGCAAAAGCUUCUGCUUGAGGGAAUAAAAUCCUCCAUUCUAUGUUGCAUAACACCCUGUCAAGAUGUUCUUUGAUGUUUUCCACUCCAUCUCUGGUAUUCGACCAAGUGAAGGUGCAUCCUUUGCUUUCCAUGUCCAUUAACAGGCAAGCAUUCAGAAAACCCUGGAAUUCUGUCAUACAAGAAAUUUCAACCAAACACUUCCCCACUUUUUCCCAAUAGAACAGUACUUCGUUAAAAUCUCCUAGACAAACCCAGGGCAAUGAAUUUGAUAAGCUCAUAACACGGAGUUCCUCCCACAGUUCACAUCUUUUUUGAAAAUGAUAACGAGCAUGAACAAAAGUGACUCUCAUCCUCUUGCCACUCGAUAAGUCUUUGCACCAGAGAUUCAUAUAACUCUUUGUUUGCGAAUCGAAAGUGAGUUCAACUCUAUCAUCCCACAAGAUAGCCAAACCACCAGCAGUUCUUACCGGGUUAACGACCCUACAAUUCUGAAAUUGUAGUAUCCUCCUUAUUCUCUAAAGAACCAACUCUUGGUUUUUAGUUUCCAUAAAAAAACCACAGCAGGCCUGAGUCAAGCCACAAGGGCUCUUAAUUCUAGGACUGUCAAGGGUGUGCCCAAUCCUUGACAG
This is a long non-coding RNA of Syzygium oleosum, 1142 nucleotides long. RefSeq lists it as uncharacterized. NCBI's taxonomy places the organism in Eukaryota, Viridiplantae, Streptophyta, Magnoliopsida, Myrtales, Myrtaceae. The transcript has 2 exons. The record is from RefSeq and is a predicted model, not a curated record.